This 253-nucleotide ribosomal RNA is filed under the name uncultured bacterium. RNAcentral's name for it is "partial 16S ribosomal RNA". It matches the Rfam family "Bacterial small subunit ribosomal RNA", at positions 524 to 776 of the family's 1533-position model. The record is from RNAcentral.
UACAGAGGGGGCAAGCGUUGUCCGGAUUUACUGGGCGUAAAGAGCGCGCAGGCGGUCGUGCAAGUCGCGUGUGAAAGCCCCCGGCUCAACUGGGGAGGGUCACGCGAUACUGUUCGACUCGAAGGCAGGAGAGGGAAGCGGAAUUCCCGGUGUAGUGGUGAAAUGCGUAGAUAUCGGGAGGAACACCAGUGGCGAAGGCGGCUUCCUGGCCUGUUCUUGACGCUGAGGCGCGAAAGCUAGGGUAGCAAACGGG